RNAcentral lists this ribosomal RNA (451 nucleotides) under uncultured bacterium. RNAcentral describes it as "partial 16S ribosomal RNA". It matches the Rfam family "Bacterial small subunit ribosomal RNA", at positions 123 to 568 of the family's 1533-position model. The record is from RNAcentral.
AAUUUAAAUUAAAAAUAAAAAAAAGUUAAGGGACAAAAGGUGAAGUAAAAUAAUAAAAUAGUAAAUUUUGUUUAAGGUAAAACCUAAAUAAAAAAAGUUGUAAAAUGACAAAAGAAAAUUUUAUAUAGUAUUAGGUAAUUAAUAAAAAUAAAUAAAAUUAAGCCUACGAUGCUUAGCUGAUUUUAACGAAUGAUCAGCCACAAUGGGCUAGAAAAAAGUGCCUGAACUAAACGGCUGCAGUAAAGAAUCUUGGACAAUACAUUAAAAUGUGUGAUCCAGCAAGCCUCCGUAGAAUAUGAAGGAUUGGACGAGAUAAAGUUCUCUGUAAAUUCUGGAUCUUUUUAAAAUAUAAUGAUCAUAUAAAAAGGGAAAGUCCCGGCUAAAUUUGUGCCAGCAGCCGCGGUAACACAAAUGGGACAAGUGUUAUUCAUAUUAACUAGGCGUAAAGGGC